CCUACGGGAGGCAGCAGUGGGGAAUAUUGCACAAUGGGGGAAACCCUGAUGCAGCGACGCCGCGUGAGUGAAGAAGUACUUCGUUAUGUAAAGCUCUAUCAGCAGGGAAGAAAAUGAAGGUACCUGAGCUAGAAGCCCCGGCUAACUACGUGCCCGCAGCCGCGGUAAUACGUUGGGGGCAAGCGUUUUCCGGAUUUACUGGGUGUAAAGGGAGCGUAGACGGCAGUGCAAGUCUGGAGUGAAAGGCGGGGGCUCAACCCCCGGACUGCUCUGGAAACUGUACGGCUAGAGUGCAGGAGAGGUAAGUGGAAUUCCUAGUGUAGCGGUGAAAUGCGUAGAUAUUAGGAGGAACACCAGUGGCGAAGGCGGCUUACUGGACUGUAACUGACGUUGAGGCUCGAAAGCGUGGGGAGCAAACAGGAUUAGAUACCCGAGUAGUC
RNAcentral lists this ribosomal RNA (440 nucleotides) under uncultured bacterium. Its description in RNAcentral is "partial 16S ribosomal RNA". It matches the Rfam family "Bacterial small subunit ribosomal RNA", at positions 338 to 795 of the family's 1533-position model. The record is from RNAcentral.